GGAGGGAGAGAGAGAGAAUGUAUGAGGUGAGAGAGGGGGGGGAGAGAGAGGGAGACAGACAGAGACAGAGACAGAGACUCAGAGACAGAGACCGAGAGGAGAGAGACAUUUUGGAGAGUGUGUUUGUAAUACUUUUGAAGAUUGGCUGCUCACAGACCACAGGUCAACCCUCCUAUGACAAAGCCUGACUGAUGAAGGAGUUCAUCGCUGAAGAAGAGACUCAGAAAGGAAAUCGAGCCAGGGAGAAGAUGAUCUUUCUGUGCCCUCUGGACUCCGUCAUCCUGGAUAUGGUACUUGUCUUGCAACCAGGACGAAGAUGAAACCGACUUUGAGGAUGAAGGAAGGAGCAGGGUGGCUGGUCUCUACUUCCAUAGACUGUAGGGGAAAACUCCUGCAGGUGGACAAAGGUCCCCAAAACUUCUCUCCAGGACCCUCGUGUUUCCUGUCAACAUGCUCAUUCAAUCAUCACUGAACGCCCAAGAGUUAUUCCACAAGAAUUGUCACUGGGCGUCGACUCUGCAAUACAAAUGACUGGUGGGUGACCUUGAAUCUAGACUGCAGCCUCUCAGCAGACAUGCGCCCUUAGAGAAAUUACCUACAUUCUUUGUGACUCAGGUUUCUCACUUUAAAAAUGAGGGCUACGGCAUGAGGACCUGUGAGAGAUCGGUAUUGGCUCAGUACCCUAAGACCAAGUUCUCUCCACAAAGGAGAUUUCUUUGCCCCAGGGGGACAGAGGACAGGUGAUACGAGGCAAAGAAAUAUGGAGGACAAGGGCGAGGGACCAAGGGUGGGAUGAAGGACUGUCUCUCGCUAGGGAGGAUACAGAUGUGCCCUAUAGGCUAAUGGUAGUUUAUAAAGGUAAAGGGGGAACCCUGUGUUAAGAUGAGGUGUUUAAUUUUAAUUGGACAUGUUAACUUGUUAGAGGAAUUGCUGAAGGAAGAGCCCAGACUCAACUAAUACGCAAAGGUAAGGACGGUUCAUUCUGUAAAAAUUACCAGCACUCAGGGGUCAACCAUUCAUCUAAAUGGUGACAACUUGAGGGUCUUGUAGGCCUGCUUUUAUGCAGGACUAGGGGAGUUUUCCAGGACUAGGUAACCUCUAAUAUGAUUGGUAGGAGCAAAGCAGUAACAUUAGUACACUUUCUUUUGAUUGGCUAUUUGGUGAGACCAUGAAGAGUUUUAGUGACCAGCUCUGUUCUGGCCUUGUUAUCUUCUCUAGUCGUGUACCCAGAAGACUGUCUCAGCUCUGGAACUAUCCUCCCAUGUUCAGGUUGACUGAAGGCUCAUUGUGAGCCAAAGGGGGCUUUUGAUAGUUGAAUUUCAGUACCUUGAUAGCUAGACCUUGGUAGCCAGCCUCAGGAAGAGGAAGUAACCAAAUAAAGGAAUAAACCUUCAUGACUAGAAAUGUAAUCUAAUAGGUUUUUUUUUUUUCAAGGCAGAGGGAAUUGGGGAGAAGGUCAAGGCCCUCCGUGUUCACCAAGUCCCUUCAGAACCUGAGUCUGAGUCCCAGAACCCACAUAAAAAGAUAGGUACAGUAGUGGAAUAUUGUAAUCCCAGAGCUAGGAAAACGGGCAAGGGGAUCUCUGAGGCUGACUGGCCCAGUGAGUUGUCAGUCCCAGAGUUUAGUGAGUAGACAUGCCUCAACAAAUAAAAAGCAACAACAACAACAAAACAAAACAAAACAAAACUGAGGACGAAUGGCCCCUGCAGAAUGAGACCCAAGGUUGAGUUCUGGCAUCGGCAUGUGUGUACAUGUAUGUACAGACACACACACACACAAGCAUGCAUGCACAAUGUGAAAAAUAAAAUUAAAGCUAUCCUAUAAUCCCCUGGUUUUCCUAAUAUACUAUUCUCUCACUUUGGUGACAGGUGCAAUAAAUAAUGUAUUCAGGUAGUUUUAGAGAAUCAAUUUAUUUCCAGGCACUUGUAUAGAAUCUAAUCAAUAUUUAUACUUAUUCAAACGGCUUUCUUCUUCUUUUUUCAUUAAGGAAGGUUUUGCUUUCUUCUUACGCCUGUUUGACCUUGUAGAAAAUAACAAAUUCUUUUCUAGUAGCACCAAAGGGAACAAAACCAAGCCAAGGAGAUUGUUGACCCUAACCCUCUCACUAAUUAGGGAGUGUAUGGGGAAAUAAGUCCUCAUUACACCUCCCGUUUCAACUAGUUCUUUACAGUUGACUAUAGCUCAGAAAAUUGGAUUAUGAGCUACGCUUGGCAUCUUUAGCCAGAAGGCCUGCCAUUCUGUCAGCAAUAUUUAUCAGACUAGAGCUGGUGACUGUAAAUUCCCAAGGUAAUUAGAAACAAGCAAACAGAAAACAAAAAUACAAAACCAAACCACUGGUUUUAGAGACAUUGUUUCUCAUUGGAAUGAAUAUUACCCAUGAUUAUCUCCUUAGCUGUACGCUUCAUCUAGGAGAGAGAAAUCACCCAAAUUUCACUUGAAGAGUUUUGUCAGGUGUUGUACGACACGAUUUCUGGGGAGACCAGAACACACCUCUUCUUAAGCUCAGACAGGCGACAGUGACAGACCGAAGCGAGGAUAUUGCCAAAGUGUAACUUGGCGAGGGGGUUCUUAUAGGAAUAUCGGUGAGGGCUACAGGAACAGAAACAAUUCAAGGACUGUUACAUCACUAAAAUCUGGAAUGGGUGACAGACCACUCAUGAAAACAGGAAGCCUGGAUCUCACUGCAUGGUUGGGAGGCAGCUAGACAGAGUGGAGUCUCUUCCAGACCCCUCAGCUGGUCUGAGUGUCUCCUAGAAAGGCAGCUCUCCUUGUCUGAGGGUCUCUCAGCCAUUCCUACAGUUUAUAUAAAUGUGGGGAUGAAGGAGCCUGAUGCUUCUGGUCAGGUUCAAGGACCCCUGGAUCCUUUGAGUUGUUUACUGUCCCGGUUUUAAAGACCAUCCUUCAGGAGACAGUGCUUCACUUUCCUUUAGCAGAUCCUAGGUCCUAAGGACCUUCACUUUAAGGUGGAAACUCUUAUCUCAGAGGAGAUUGCUAUGCAACACUAGAAAUGACCUUUGAGGGUCGAAGCCCAGGGGACUAAGGGACUAGAUUAGCCAUGUGAUGUGGGGGAGGAGAACCCAUGAACUUUCUGGACUUUUAUUUACCCAGAUCGCUGAUGGAUGACUCUGGUGAGCAUGGAGUUGGUACCCGAUAUGAAGAGAUGCUGUCCUCCUAUCUUGUGCUCACAGUGUGCUAGGUCCCAGGGAAGCUGUGACGAAGGAGUCUUGCCGGUCAAAGGCCAGCACAGGCCAGUGUGCUCAGCUCAUGCUCAGCUCUGAAGCACAAGCUAGUCCUGGAGUUCAUGUUCUUUAUCUCCAGUGUGGAAUCCUGCUCAUUACUUCAACUCCACCAAUAGCGACUUUCCCUUUGUCUGAGCUCUAAUUCCUCUAGAGGGCUCCUAAACACAGCACGUGAGAGGUCUUGUAAAUGCACGGACUCUGGGGCUGGGGACAAGCAUGAGGACCUGAAUUCAGUCCACAGAACUCAUGUAAAGAGACUGCUUGGGUGGCAUGUUCUGUAAUCCCAAUGGUGGGGAGGUGGCAAUGGAUCCUUGGGGAUCACUGGCUAGUCAAUGUAGCUUACUCUAAAACCCACAGACCAAUGAGAAUAAAACCACCUUAAACAUAAAGAACCAGCCAUCUUAAGAAGAAAACAAAAAACCAAACAAGGUGGGGAGCACUCGAGGUGAGAAACCAAGGUUGUCUUCUGACCUCCAUGCACAUGAACAGAUGUUCCCAUGCACUGCUGUGCACACAUGUGCAUCGACACACACACACACACACACACACACACACACACACACACACACACACACACAGAGAGAGAGAGAGAGAGAGAGAGAGAGAGAGAGAGAGAGUGUGUGUGUGUGUGUGUGUGUGUGUGUGUGUGUGUGUGUGUGUUGGGGGCUCUGGAAACAGAAUGAGAUCUUGGAAUACUGGAAUAUUAGCUCAGCU
This is a non-coding RNA of Rattus norvegicus (Norway rat), 3953 nucleotides long. The record is from RefSeq and is a predicted model, not a curated record. NCBI's taxonomy places the organism in Eukaryota, Metazoa, Chordata, Mammalia, Rodentia, Muridae.